Molecule: ribosomal RNA, 645 nt
Filed under: uncultured bacterium
Lineage: Bacteria
Description: bacterial SSU rRNA
Rfam family: Bacterial small subunit ribosomal RNA (bases 1-550)
Source: RNAcentral
CCUACGGGAGGCAGCAGUGGGGAAUUUUGGACAAUGGACGAAAGUCUGAUCCAGCAAUGCCGCGUGCAGGACGAAGGCCUUCGGGUUGUAAACUGCUUUUGUACGGAACGAAACGGCCUGCUUUAAUACAGUGGGCUAAUGACGGUACCGUAAGAAUAAGCACCGGCUAACUACGUGCCAGCAGCCGCGGUAAUACGUAGGGUGCGAGCGUUAAUCGGAAUUACUGGGCGUAAAGCGUGCGCAGGCGGUUAUAUAAGUCAGAUGUGAAAUCCCCGGGCUCAACCUGGGACCUGCAUUUGAGACUGUAUAGCUAGAGUACGGUAGAGGGGGAUGGAAUUCCGCGUGUAGCAGUGAAAUGCGUAGAUAUGCGGAGGAACACCGAUGGCGAAGGCAAUCCCCUGGACCUGUACUGACGCUCAUGCACGAAAGCGUGGGGAGCAAACAGGAUUAGAUACCCUGGUAGUCCACGACCUAACCGACUAGUCACUAGUUGGUUGGGUUCGUUCUACUGUACUCAGUAACGAACGACUAACGCGUGAGUAGUACCGCCGUGGGAGGUACGGUCCGGCGAGGUUAGUUAAACGUUAAAGGUUAAAGUUAGUACGGCGUUGAGACGUUGCCGACGGACGACGACGAGGGAGGAGG